Molecule: ribosomal RNA, 468 nt
Filed under: uncultured bacterium
Lineage: Bacteria
Description: partial 16S ribosomal RNA
Rfam family: Bacterial small subunit ribosomal RNA
Source: RNAcentral
GACGAACGCUGGCGGCGUGCUUAACACAUGCAAGUCGAACGGAAAGGCCCUGCUUUUGUGGGGUGCUCGAGUGGCGAACGGGUGAGUAACACGUGAGUAACCUGCCCUUGACUUUGGGAUAACUUCAGGAAACUGGGGCUAAUACCGGAUAGGAGCUCCUGCUGCAUGGUGGGGGUUGGAAAGUGUCGGCGGUUGGGGAUGGACUCGCGGCUUAUCAGCUUGUUGGUGGGGUAGUGGCUUACCAAGGCUUUGACGGGUAGCCGGCCUGAGAGGGUGACCGGCCACAUUGGGACUGAGAUACGGCCCAGACUGCUACGGGAGGCAGCAGUGGGGAAUAUUGCACAAUGGGCGGAAGCCUGAUGCAGCAACGCCGCGUGCGGGAUGACGGCCUUCGGGUUGUAAACCGCUUUCGCCUGUGACGAAGCGUGAGUGACGGUAAUGGGUAAAGAAGCACCGGCUAACUACGUG